RNAcentral lists this ribosomal RNA (460 nucleotides) under uncultured bacterium. RNAcentral's name for it is "partial 16S ribosomal RNA". It matches the Rfam family "Bacterial small subunit ribosomal RNA", at positions 338 to 795 of the family's 1533-position model. The record is from RNAcentral.
CCUACGGGAGGCAGCAGUGAGGAAUAUUGGUCAAUGGGCGCGAGCCUGAACCAGCCAAGUCGCGUGAGGGAAGACGGCCCUACGGGUUGUAAACCUCUUUUGCCGGGGAGCAACGGGCGCCACGUGUGGCGCCACUGAGAGUACCUGGAGAAAAAGCAUCGGCUAACUCCGUGCCAGCAGCCGCGGUAAUACGGAGGAUGCGAGCGUUAUCCGGUUUUAUUGGGUUAAAAGGGUGCGUAGGCGGAGCGUUAAGUCAGUGGUCAAUUUGAGGGGCUCAACCCCUUCCCGCCAUUGAAACUGGCGCACUAGAGUGGAAGAGAAGUAUGCGGAAUGCGUGGUGUAGCGGUGAAAUGCAUAGAUAUCACGCAGAACCCCGAUUGCGAAGGCAGCAUGCCGGCUUCCAACUGACGCUGAGGAACGAAAGCGUGGGGAGCGAACAGGAUUAGAUACCCCAGUAGUC